AGACGCUCAGGUCUGUCUCUCUCUCUCUCGCUCCCCCCCACCGCCUCGUUUCCCUGAGAGCCGUGUUUUGCAUCUCUCCCUAAUUUGCAUUUCUUCUUUAGAUUUUCCGUGCGACGGUCUAGCCGCUCGAAAUCAUAGAAUAAGGCGUAGCACCGCAGCAAUAUCUACAUGCUCCCGGCAUUUCCAAAGCAAUACGCACGGCGGAACCCAUUGGAAAAUUUGAAUAAUGUUGCCGAAGCUUUCCGGAAGGUGAAAUUGAGGAAUAUAUUUGGAUCAAUCCGUUUGGUUGCGCACUAGAGGAGACACAUGCCUUCGAGGUAAACAGACAGCAGGACUGGACAGCCAGAUAGUAGCCUAGGUUAUAUCGUUUUUCUCCCGCGUUAUAAGCAGUUACAGGCUGUUAUAACGCCACGGUAGUGGUCCUAAGGUCGAGCAGAGCGUUAUAUUUUGGUUUGUGCACCUUGGUUGGUUAUUGAGACGCAGUUGGAAAUGUCGGAAGUACUACAAGACGAAAUGAGUCAUUAUGGAAAUGAGGACGAUGAGGGACACCUUUCCUUCACCUGUCGCCUCCAAGACACCAACAACUUCUUCAGCGGCUCGCAGGGGGGCAAACGCCCGCCCAAACUUGGACAGAUAGGCAGAAGCAAACGAGUCAUCGAGGAUGAGAGCGGCGUUGACGAGGCGCAGAAAAACGGGACAGAGAAAACACAGACGGAGGCUUAAACACACCACCCCCGCCCCCCCGAAAGACAUUGAUUCUCAUUUUCUAUUCGAAAUCAACAGUUUUAAUCCAAAAACACUGUAUAUAAGCACUUUCAUCCCAUAUGGCAGCAAGCACUUCUAGACCCUCUCCCAGUCCUCAUGAUGGUGAUCUCCUGGGACUUAUACUGGCAGGAUGAGGAAGCAGCCAAGACAAGAGAUGGAGACGGACACCGAGACCGAGACGGUGAUGGAUACAGACGCCCAGGUGAAUGCUGUCAUGCCAGGGUUUACGCCCAUAGAGCUUGUCUAAAACGGGGGAUGACCAGCCUUCUACCCAGAGAGCUACAUGGUGAGCAGCAGGCUUUUGCUUCAGCCCUACACAUUUUACACUAGUCAAUUAUUGGUCGUAUAUAACUCCUAAGCAGGUUGACCAACAAAUGUAGCAGUCUGAAAACGGUAUUUUCAUGGUCCUGGGUAGCAGCUCAUUCGUAGCAUUAGGUGUAUUAGAGUAGGGAUGGAUCAAAACCCUGCCGGAGGGGGAUAGCUCUCAAGGAGGAGGGUCUAAACCAUGUGACCAGGAGAGGAUGCUGACGGAGGAAGACAAUGCUGUCGAACAAACACAGAAAUCAGGGAACAAACUAUAGAAAUGAUCUUGUAAACUAAAGCACACACACACACACACACACACACUCUUAUAUCAAUCAAACCAUAUGAUAUUACAUUACCAUUCUUUCUGCUCUUGAUUCUUCUGAUGAUGAGUGCAAACAAAUAAAUAAUAUAAAUAACUUGUAAAUAAGAAAUGGUACAGAUGUAGGAUCUUAAUUUGAUCACCCUGUUGCAGUAAAACGUGUAGUGUAUGUGAGGUUUAAAAAGGCAUCUGAAGUUAGUCAUUUCCACUUUGAAAUUUCAGGCAUGAUUUCCCUUAUGAGAAAUGCUUCAAACCCUACAAAUGUCCAUUAAUUAUGAUCCAUAUAAUAAUUCACAUUUCCUGUUGCUGCAAGAUUAUUUUCCUGCUGUAGCAAACUGGCUCGAAUUAAGAUCCCUACAUCUGCAGCCUCACGUUCUGUUCUGUGCCAGUCGGUUUCUGCUCUCUUGUCAACUCCUUGUGGAAUUGUCAUUUUUGGUGUGACAAUUGGUCGUGAUUAUGGACCUGGCAAGAUGGCACGAACAGAUCUGAGACCAGGCUAACGUUUUGUUGCACAGCGGAGAAAAGAAGCAGUGAAAUGGUUUGUUGUAAUCUAACGUAAUGUGUCUGUAUAAAGAGACCUUAUUCAUUAACCCUUUGGAGAAGUAUUUUGCAGUGCUCAAGGCCUGAGGGAAAAACGGAGGGAGAGUUUUGUAUGGCGAGAAUUACGAUGACAGGAUUAAUGAAGUGAUCUUUUCCUUUUUUUACUUCUUAUACAUUUUGAUGUCGCCUGAUCAGUUUUUGUUACCAUCCUUUGCAUCUAUAGAGUCAUGUAUACACAUUAUACAGUACUGUACAUCACUUGUUUGUAAAGGCACCAAAAGGCCUAAAGUCUGGAUUGUUAAAUAUAACUGUACACACUCCCUAUUUAUGAACUAUUUCUAUUGCAUUGCGCAUUAUCACGUGUGCCAAAUAUCAGGAGGGAUAACCAGACAACAUGGUUGCUUAUGUUGUGCUUUCUAUACGUUUAAUUGUAACAAUUUUGUUAUUCUUCUGUUGUUGCCAUUGUUCAGGGCUUUUUCUUACCACUGAAUUACCAACUGAUGCAUGGCAGAAAUGGAAUCAUGCAUGCAUGGCAAUGUUCUGAAGAUGAUCUUGUGUAUUCUAGAACACCUCCUGUACCACUUUGAAUGAUUAUCCUCCAGAACAGUCUUUAAUAUGACGUAUGUUGUACUGUGCUGUACUAUUAUCUCACUGAUUUGUACAGUAGUCUAAUAUCUUGUAAUAAAGAUUCAGAAGAAGUUAA
Oncorhynchus keta (chum salmon) is the source of this 2633-nucleotide long non-coding RNA. RefSeq lists it as uncharacterized. The transcript is spliced from 2 exons. The record is from RefSeq and is a predicted model, not a curated record. NCBI's taxonomy places the organism in Eukaryota, Metazoa, Chordata, Actinopteri, Salmoniformes, Salmonidae.